CGUCCCAUUCAUCCAUCCAGCGCCGUGACCAACAGGUGUAAUGGCGGCGCCCAGCACCAGCAAUACGCAGUGAAGGAGAGAUCUGUGUAGCUGACUGAUUGUGCCUUGCUGAGGAACUGAAUCUUGGUUCUGCGGUUGCUCCAUUGAUUACCCGGACUUCACGUCCUCACUCUGCUCAAGCUGAGGAAUUUCUGACUCGACAUACGCCACGAACCAAGCGCAAAAGUAACUGAUGCAGACAUGUCCGUACGACAGCCAGCAUAAGGCAAAGACCAGUCGCUACCUCAUACACUUGAUGAAGUGUAGAAAGACAUACACCUUCAACCAAGCACAAGAGGAACUUAUGCUGACAUGUCCAUACGACAGCCAGCAUAAGGUAAAGACCAGUCGCUACCUCAUACACUUGAUGAAGUAAAAGAAGACACACAGCAACCAAGAUUUUUCAGAAUGCCUUUUCACGGCAGAGCAUGUGGUCCCCGCGGACAAGCUAAUAGACCACAUCUAUUGCUGCCCUCUAAACUUUACAGCGCAAAACUUCGCCCCUAAAACAGAUGCCAUGAACCAAGCGCAAAAGGAACUUUACUGACAUGUCCGUGCGACAGCCAGCUUAAAGUAAAGACCAGUCGCUACCUCAUACACUUGAUGAAGUGUAGAAAGACAUACGCCAGAAACCAAGUGCAAAAGGAACUUAUGCUGAUAUGUCCGUACGACAGCCAGCAUUAGGUAAAGACGUGUCUCUACCUCAUACACUUGAUGAAGUGU
Molecule: long non-coding RNA, 762 nt
Organism: Rhipicephalus microplus (southern cattle tick)
Lineage: Eukaryota; Metazoa; Arthropoda; Arachnida; Ixodida; Ixodidae
Source: RefSeq, a predicted model, not a curated record